CUCAGUUCGGACUGCAGUCUGCAACUCGACUGCACGAAGCUGGAAUCGCUAGUAAUCGCGGAUCAGCACGCCGCGGUGAAUACGUUCCCGGGCCUUGUACACACCGCCCGUCACACCAUGGAAGUCUGCAAUGCCCGAAGCCGGUGGCCUAACCACUUAUGUGGAAGGAGCCGUCUAAGGCAGGGCAGAUGACUGGGGUGAAGUCGUAACAAGGUAUC
Molecule: ribosomal RNA, 218 nt
Filed under: uncultured bacterium
Lineage: Bacteria
Description: partial 16S ribosomal RNA
Rfam family: Bacterial small subunit ribosomal RNA
Source: RNAcentral